AAUUCUUGCAUAAUAUAUAAACUAUCAUAAAACGAUAAUGCAACUAUAAGGCAACUAUUUGCACUUGCAUACAGUUAUUUUGUAGUUUUAUUAUAGUUUUGCUACUUGCAUAUGUUAUUUCACUAUAAAAUUAAUAUGCAACUAUUUGCACAAAACUUACUAUGUAUAACUACUAUUUCUUAGUCCCCAUCAAAUUAAAUUCUUGCAUAAUAUAUAAACUAUCAUAAAACGAUAAUGCAACUAUAAGGCAACCAAAACAAAAAAUAAAUCAAAAUGUAACUGUAUAUAACGUAGAUGUAUUAUUCAUGAGGUUUUUUUUUUUUUAAAUUUUCACAUCAGACAUUGUUUUGAAAUUGAUGGGAGGUCCAGAUCUGUUUGUUACAGAUCUACAUUUCAUGAAUCUGGAUUUCGAUAUUAGGGGGAGUUGUUUUGAUCGAAUAAAACAGAAAACAAAUGUGUAAUUUCAGUUUCUUCACAGUUUUUCUGAUUUUUUUUUUCGUCAUUUUCAGUUUAGAUCAUUGCAGGUAUUCUUUUCCAGUUGAUUUUGCCAGAAUUAAUAGUUGUAUUUUUCUCGUUUUGGUUUCAUUUUGGUUGUUUUGCGGUUUUGAAACGAGCGCGUAUUUUCAUCUUCAUGGUUCGCUCUGUACAGCUGAAGGCUUAGUGCAUGUGGUAUUUUUGUAAAUAUUUAUAUAUAGACUGUAUAAAUGUUUAAUGGGCCGGCCCAAAGUAUUUUUGUAAUUUUUUUUCCUUUUUUGCAUUUUUUUGUUUUUUUCCCAAAAAUCUUUUUUGGAAGUAUUUCAAUAAAAAUAAAAAAUAAUUUUUAAUUUUCUUUUGAAAAUGCUAGGAACCAUGACUUCUCCAAAAUAAAUUUUAAAGCGCAAUAAAAAAUAUCUUUAUAUAGUAAUUAUUUUAACUUAAAAUAAUAAUUAUCUAAAAAAAUAAUAACCUAAAUCUUUUACAAUUUUUUUUUUUUUUUUGACAUUAAGAUCAUUUACUUUUUAGAUCUAGACAAAAUGAUGCAUUUUUAACUUUAUCUUGGACAAGCUUGUGUCCAAACUCCAAAGGUGGAAAGUAAAAACCCUCUCUAAAGUAGGUUAGGCUACUAUGAUCAAAUCAGUUGGGCUUACUCUUCUAAAUUACACGAUGCAAAUGACUAAACCUUCCAAGAGACUUGCUUUUAAAGUUGAUGGCACAAGGGACUUUUGGUGGGAUUGUGAGAAGGGAAAUUGUUAAGACCGCUUAGUUUAAUUUGGAAAUUAGCAGUUAAUCACGUUUAAUUAUGAAAUUAUUUAUAGCUAUUUAAAUAAUUAUUUAUACUGUUAUUAUUGAAUUCUGAGAUGCAUUUUUAUGUCAGUUAGUAGUUUUCAUAAUUUUGCAUUUUCGGUGCCCGGUAACAUGGAACUCGGUGUUUGGCUCAGUAAAAUCACAACUUAGUAUGUUAGUAGAUUGGGACGGUUUAUUAGACAUUGGGAAUGUCGGGAAUGGCCGGGAAUUCGGAAUUUCCCAAAAUACCCCUUUAGUGUUAGUUAUGUGAUUUUGGUGUGAAGGGGCAAAAUAGUCAUUUUGCCCCAUUAUUAGUUUGUCCUUUAGUGGACUUAGUAAGUGGAAUAUUAUGUGUUUUAGUAUGUUUUAUGUUGGCUGAAAUAAAAAGAGUUAGGUUGCAUUUAUUUCAUUUAGUCAAAAAUUUCAAAAGUUAGAAAAUUGGAAAUUCAAAGGCUCUCUUUCUUUCUCUCCUUUUCGGUUUUGAGCAGCUGGGUUUGGAGGGGAUUUCUCUUGGAUUUCAAGCUGAUUUUAGCAUAGAUUUUGACCUCAAGUGGUUGGAGCCUGUAAUCCGCCGCGCAGAUAGUUCCAGUCAGGUUGAUCGACACACCUGAAUUCGGAAUCCAGGUAAAGGCAAGGCUAGAGCUGAUGGACCGUGAACGAGCCUAUGAAGAUUGUACAUGUCGGGGCGGUUAGGCCUGGAGCGUACGAUCAUCGGGACAGCGAGGCUAUUUUUGUAAUUAGUCGCUAGGCGACAAGUAUUUUGUAUAAACAGUAAACUUUUGUAAAUAGUUUUGUAAUCGGGAUCCCGAGUCUUUUGUAUAAAUAUUUUACAAGUUUAAUUAAAAAGAAAAAUUUUAAUUAAUCACGUUUUUCCAUAAACCUCGUUGAUUAGCAACGAGCUGCACAGUAUGUUUAAAAUCACGUAAUACGCCUAUGCUUGUUAGGGUGUUACAGAAAUCAUGGUCUCUAUUUGAAAGCGUGGGAUAGUCUGUGCCUCCCCAAAUCUUGUGGGGGCUUAGGCUUCCAAAAAAUUAUGGAGAUGAACUAGAAUUUCUUAGCUAAAUAGGAUUGGCAUAUGCUCAAUGAGCACCAAUCACUAUGUUGCAGGGUCUUAAGUGCCGAGUAUCUAAAAGGAAAGCAUUUAAUGAAGUGCACUUAUAAAAAUUCGGACUCCUAAUUUUGGAAGAAUAUUGUGAAAGCCAGAGAGAUUAUGAAGAAAGGGGUUUGUAAGAUGGUGUCUGAUGGGAAAGACAAAAAUAUUUAGGAAGACUCAUGGAUACUUCAUGGCAAAGAGUUAUGUCCUAGUCCUGUGGCCAAUCUCACUAGGGGUCUUGAAAAGGUUGUUGGCCUGUUGUAAGACAAUGGAGAUUGAGAUCUCCUUAAGCUUUAUUCCUUCCUUGACUGUAAGUCUCUAAUUCAGUUUGUAAUAUUCUGAAAAGGGGUAAGCCUAGUAGCCAGGGUAAAGACCGGUGGAUUUAGACCAAGGAACCUAAAAGUAUAUUCUAUAGUAAACUUGCUUACUUGGUUCAAGCUUUUGACAGUGCUCCUCCCUUGUGGCUCCAUCCCUUUGGAAAAAAUUAUGGAAUAACAAAGUGUUGAAAUGCCAUAAGGUUUUUUGGUGGAGCAAUCUCUCAAAUGCCCUUCUAAUUCAAGCUCUUCUAGCUUAGAGAAUACAAAUUGAAGAUGUCUUUUGCCCUCUUUUAGGUAAGGUAGAGGAGACUACGGAACACCUUUUUCUCAAUUAUAACUUAACUUUCUACUUAUGGAGAUAUUCCCCUAAAGGGUUAUGCCGGUUUUUGAUUCAGGUGCUCGUGUUUGGGAUUGGAUAAAGUUUCUAUGGGCCUUGAAGUUGAAGGAUGUCAAUGUUGAUGGGCUUUUCCUCUAAGCUUCAAUUGUGGUGGAUACGAUUUGGUAAGCCCGUAAUGACAAGGCACAUAAUAACAAUAUGAGUAACAUCAAACAAUAUAUUGAUUAUAUCAGUUAUUGUUAUGCAGAUUAUGACUCCUAUUUGUUCCCUAAUUCUCCAGUUCCUGCCUCACUUCUUUGGUCGCCACCCUCAGAAGAUUGGAUUAAAAUUAAUUGUGA
Molecule: long non-coding RNA, 3348 nt
Organism: Cannabis sativa
Lineage: Eukaryota; Viridiplantae; Streptophyta; Magnoliopsida; Rosales; Cannabaceae
Exons: 3
Source: RefSeq, a predicted model, not a curated record